UGGAAACGUCACCUCAGUAUAGUACUAUGGU
Molecule: non-coding RNA, 31 nt
Filed under: Homo sapiens (human)
Lineage: Eukaryota; Metazoa; Chordata; Mammalia; Primates; Hominidae
Source: RNAcentral